This 235-nucleotide long non-coding RNA is filed under the name Elaeis guineensis (African oil palm). RNAcentral describes it as "long non-coding RNA (EGUI_LNC063306)". The record is from RNAcentral. Lineage: Eukaryota; Viridiplantae; Streptophyta; Magnoliopsida; Arecales; Arecaceae.
AGGACUCUCAGAUAAGUGAUACGAGGACUUGAUAUACCUUUCUAGAUGAGGCAUGCCUUCUUUGUUAGUGCCUCAUCUAGUGCUAUAAAUAGGGGAUGGCAGAUAGGGUAAUCAUUCAACUCUUACAUCUCCUAUCCACUCCCUCUCUCCCUCUCUUACAACUCUAGGUUUUAGGACAAGGCUUGUUCUUUUAAGACAAGCCUAAUCCUAAUAACUCUAAGGGUUUAAGAGGUCU